GGUAUCCUGUCUGAAUAUGGGGGGACCAUCCUCCAAGGCUAAAUACUCCUGACUGACCGAUAGUGAACCAGUACCGUGAGGGAAAGGCGAAAAGAACCCCGGCGAGGGGAGUGAAAAAGAACCUGAAACCGUGUACGUACAAGCAGUGGGAGCCUCUUUAUGGGGUGACUGCGUACCUUUUGUAUAAUGGGUCAGCGACUUAUAUUCUGUAGCAAGGUUAACCGAAUAGGGGAGCCGAAGGGAAACCGAGUCUUAACUGGGCGUUAAGUUGCAGGGUAUAGACCCGAAACCCGGUGAUCUAGCCAUGGGCAGGUUGAAGGUUGGGUAACACUAACUGGAGGACCGAACCGACUAAUGUUGAAAAAUUAGCGGAUGACUUGUGGCUGGGGGUGAAAGGCCAAUCAAACCGGGAGAUAGCUGGUUCUCCCCGAAAGCUAUUUAGGUAGCGCCUCGUGAAUUCAUCUCCGGGGGUAGAGCACUGUUUCGGCAAGGGGGUCAUCCCGACUUACCAACCCGAUGCAAACUGCGAAUACCGGAGAAUGUUAUCACGGGAGACACACGGCGGGUGCUAACGUCCGUCGUGAAGAGGGAAACAACCCAGACCGCCAGCUAAGGUCCCAAAGUCAUGGUUAAGUGGGAAACGAUGUGGGAAGGCCCAGACAGCCAGGAUGUUGGCUUAGAAGCAGCCAUCAUUUAAAGAAAGCGUAAUAGCUCACUGGUCGAGUCGGCCUGCGCGGAAGAUGUAACGGGGCUAAACCAUGCACCGAAGCUGCGGCAGCGACACUAUGUGUUGUUGGGUAGGGGAGCGUUCUGUAAGCCUGUGAAGGUGGCCUGUGAGGGUUGCUGGAGGUAUCAGAAGUGCGAAUGCUGACAUAAGUAACGAUAAAGCGGGUGAAAAGCCCGCUCGCCGGAAGACCAAGGGUUCCUGUCCAACGUUAAUCGGGGCAGGGUGAGUCGACCCCUAAGGCGAGGCCGAAAGGCGUAGUCGAUGGGAAACAGGUUAAUAUUCCUGUACUUGGUGUUACUGCGAAGGGGGGACGGAGAAGGCUAUGUUGGCCGGGCGACGGUUGUCCCGGUUUAAGCGUGUAGGCUGGUUUUCCAGGCAAAUCCGGAAAACCAAGGCUGAGGCGUGAUGACGAGGCACUACGGUGCUGAAGCGACAAAUGCCCUGCUUCCAGGAAAAGCCUCUAAGCAUCAGGUAACAUCAAAUCGUACCCCAAACCGACACAGGUGGUCAGGUAGAGAAUACCAAGGCGCUUGAGAGAACUCGGGUGAAGGAACUAGGCAAAAUGGUGCCGUAACUU
Molecule: ribosomal RNA, 1304 nt
Filed under: Escherichia coli
Lineage: Bacteria; Pseudomonadati; Pseudomonadota; Gammaproteobacteria; Enterobacterales; Enterobacteriaceae
Description: partial 23S ribosomal RNA
Rfam family: Bacterial large subunit ribosomal RNA
Source: RNAcentral